CAUAUGAAAUUUCAAAAAUUACUUAGGGGUGUAUUAGACAUUUAUUUGAGUAGUUAUUGAAGAUAAUUGGGAGAAGUAUUAAAAUACUUUAAUUGUGUAUUUCAGUAGAAAAUGAGACUUUGAAGGAUAAGGAGAAUUGAGUCAAGAAAAAGAAGAUUCACAUAAGAUAAACAAUGCUAAGAAGAAAAAAGAUUCCAAACCAGGAAAGUUCAAUGUCAGGAAGAAACCAUGUAGUAUGGACAAAUGAAAUGGAAAAUGUGUUGAUAAAUGCUAUGUUGGAAGAAAAUCAUAAAGGGAAUCGACCUGAAGGAGCAUGGAAUACUAGAGCUUUUGACAAUAUGUUACAAGUGUUAAGGGUAGCAUUUGGUCCUGUUAUUCAAAAAUCAAAUAUUAAGAAUCGAAUGAAGACAUUAAAGCGAACCUUUGCUGAGUGUAAGGAUUUAUUUCAUGGUCUUAGUGGCUUUGCUUGAAAUCCUAUAACAAAAUUGUUUGAAGCUAUUUUGAUGUUUGGGAGCAAUUAAUUCAGGAAAAACCCGAAGCACGCAAGUGGAUGCAUACACCAAUCAAUAGUUAUGACAAACUAUAUAAAUUUUAUGGUGACCAAAGAGCUGCAGGUGAAUAUGCAGAAAGUGCAAGAGAAAAGGUUAGACGCUGACAACGGGAGGAAAGUUCAUCUCAAAUUUAUUUGAAUGACACAUUUAAAAAUGUAAUAAUGUCUGACAGUGAGUUCAAUUGAGCUAAUGAGGUCACUGAUAACAAUAUGAAUAGUCCUGAACCUUCACUUCAU
Hevea brasiliensis (rubber tree) is the source of this 787-nucleotide long non-coding RNA. RefSeq lists it as uncharacterized. The transcript is spliced from 3 exons. Lineage: Eukaryota; Viridiplantae; Streptophyta; Magnoliopsida; Malpighiales; Euphorbiaceae. The record is from RefSeq and is a predicted model, not a curated record.